GCCUUUGAAGCCCAAUUCGAGUACCAAAGGGCAUAUGGAAUACAACAGUAUCAUCUCUCAUGUUCCUUGUUUCACAAUGCCUCUCUCUCUCUCUCACACACUUUUAAUAGCUUCACUCACCAGAGUUAGGCCUCGUCGCGCCGAAAAUCGCCUCCGACGGAGGAGGAGGUCCAAAUGACCUUAAAUACACAUCAUUCAACUCGUCUCAAGCCUCUCAUCCUCAAUCUCCUAUCGAACAUCCUUGAUUCCUAACCAAAAAGACAAACCAAAUUGAAAAGCAUAUGAACCCUAAAAAGCAAAAAACAGAAAUUAAAUGUCAUAGAGGAGGAAUCAAAGCCUAACACCUUAAGGAUUUGAUUCCUCAUACUUAACCCUACAUGAUGGUGACAAGACUUACGUGAAUAGGUGAAGAAGAAACAGAGCUCACCUAUGAGGUGGAGAAUGGCACCAGUGUUGUAGGAAUUGAAGACGACGAAGUUGAAAAUGGAGGAGGAUUAAGGAUAUUCAGUGUGUAGGUCUUGAUUGCGGAUCUUCAGGCAUAGCAGGAAAGAAUUGAUGAAGUUUGGGUGGCCUUUGUCAUGCCAAGGUAUAAAUUUGGUGGCUUGGUAAACAUGGAAUAUGCAUGGAGUUAUGGUGCAAUAACUUGAUGACAACAUGAACAUGGGUGAAGGUGACUUGGGGAUUUAGCAAGAAAUAGGUCGAGGGAGGGAAGUUAGUGUUAGGGUCAGUCAAACGUCAAUUGUUGACCAAAAGUCAACAUUUUGACCAAAAGUCAACUAUAUCAAAAAAAUGUAAUUUCUUUGUAAUUUUGCAACAGCAAUGUAACUUGUACUUGAUUUUUGGUACCUUGACUUGUGUAUGGAUUGUAACUUGUUCCUCAAGUAAUGCAUAUAAUUUUCCUCCA
This is a long non-coding RNA of Lathyrus oleraceus (garden pea), 904 nucleotides long. RefSeq lists it as uncharacterized. The transcript has 2 exons. The record is from RefSeq and is a predicted model, not a curated record. NCBI's taxonomy places the organism in Eukaryota, Viridiplantae, Streptophyta, Magnoliopsida, Fabales, Fabaceae.